GCCGUAACCGACGAAAGGAGCGCGCCUACCACGUGAGAUUCAUAGACGUGGGUG
This 54-nucleotide ribosomal RNA is filed under the name uncultured bacterium. RNAcentral describes it as "partial 16S ribosomal RNA". The record is from RNAcentral.